Molecule: non-coding RNA, 2047 nt
Organism: Camelina sativa (false flax)
Lineage: Eukaryota; Viridiplantae; Streptophyta; Magnoliopsida; Brassicales; Brassicaceae
Source: RefSeq, a predicted model, not a curated record
ACAAUCGAUCUUUAGCUUAGACAUUUUAGCAACGAUGCUUACCUAACACGUGUCAGUCUCUGAGUAAAGUUUUAGAAGAAAAAAAAAAAGCAGUGUUUUUAUUUUUUGUUUAUCGGUGUCGUCUUUUCUCUUUCAUCAUCGAGAAAGAGUUUCAUCUCGAUUGAGGAAGAUACUCUUCAUACAUCCAUCUAGAUCAAUAUCUGAAUUUUUUGGCUUGAUUGAGGAAGAUUUUUGGCUUGUAUAGAUCAGUAUGAUGGCCAAAACUGAAAUUUUUAGUGGCAUGUGUUCGUGUGGGUUUCGGUGAAUUUGAACAUGAUGAAUCGAGUAUUCGGGAAACCCAAGCAGGAGUCUAAUCUUAACGAGGUUGUUUUGAGAACUCCGCCGCCGAAAAGGCUCAAGUCCGACGCUGGAGGCAGCCCAAUCUCCGCCAACGCCUCUGGUUCCGGCAAGCAGAUAGUCAUAUACGAAGAUUCUCCUCUUCCUGCUCCUGCUCUGCUACAAACUUUGAGUGAUCAUUCCGAUCAACACCUUUGCACCUAUCAAUGUCGUAUACUCUCUUCUGGAGUUAUACUCUACAACAAGUGAAGGAGCUCGAAAUGGCAACAGUUCCAGGACAGCUGGUCUGGGAUCUCGUAAAGAGAAACAACUGUUUCUUGGUGAAGCAGUUCGGCAGAGGUAACGCCAAGGUUCAGUUCAGCAAAGAGAAAAACACACCUCAUCAACCUCAACUCUUACAAGCACUCUUGUUUGGCCAACAAGAAGACAGUGACCAAGCUGACAAGGACCAAGGUGUGGUACUCGGAACCACCAAGAGAAAAAGACAAAACAAGCCUAUGCUCUCUGUUAACAAGUCUGUCUUCAAAAAGGAGUUCCCGAGGAUGACCAAAAUAAUGACCACAUUUUUAGAUACUACCAAUGGACAAUAAAAAUAGAAAGUUUCUUAAGAAGUUUGUUAACUUCAAAUUUUAUUCACUUUUAUUCAAAUUAAUGUUUUUAACAACUUUGCUUAAAUGCAACCAAUGGUGAUGCUCUAAGAGCAUCUCCAUUGGUGGUAUUUAAGCAAAGUUUGUUAGCCUGAAAAGCUAAAAAAAUAAAUCAAAAAUCCUAAUUAACUAACAAUCGAUCUUUACCGAAAGGAUUUAAGAAACGGCAAACACGUGUCAGCCUCGGAGUAAAAUUUUAGGGAAAAAACAAAAAAUAAAGGCGGUGUUUUUCUUUCUUCCAUCUCACUGUCGUCUUUUUCUCGUUUCCUCGAUGAAAUUUGAGGAAGAGUUUCGUCUUGAUUGAGGAAGAAAAUCGUCUUCCACCCCUGAUCAUUAUCUGAAUUUUUCGUCUUGAUUGAAGAAGAUUUUCUGCUUGUAUAGAUCAGUAUGAUGGCCAAACUUGAUGGUUGUCCUCCCUCAUUAACAACAAGCAGAACCAUGGUUCGGCUUUGGUAUAUUUAUUGAUCUGGAUUUGAAUUGGAGGACGAGUCAUGCUUCCUAACUUGAUGGUUGUUCGAAUCGAUGGUCGUGAAGAUUUUUUCAAGUUCAAGAGUUUGAGAAGCCUAAUGAUGAAACAGCACUCAGUCUGAUGAAUUCAUGUUCUGCUGCGGUUUUGCAAGAGUUUCCGGACAUCAUCUUUGCGUAUGGAUACAAUAAAGAAUACAGGUCCCAAAAAAUUUACUUCUUUGACUGCACCUUGAAUGGGUUUUUGAUAAGAGCACCUUCUGUUUUUGCUGUAGCUUGAAUGGGUUUGUGUACAUUGAGUUUGUGGUUAACAUACAAUUUGAUCCGAAUGCAAGCUCAGAGAAGUCCAUCGGAUACAACGGUGGCGAGAAUGCUGGUGGGAAACAAGUGUGACUUGGAAAACAUAAGAGCAGUGAGCGUGGAGGAAGGGAAAGCACUAGCAGAAGCGCAUGAACUCUUCUUUGUGGAAACAUGGCACUUGAUUCAACUAAUAUGAACAGCAUUUGAAAAAAAAUUAAAUUAAGAACCCUAAUUUUAGAUACUACCAAUGAACCCAUAAAAUUGUAAAGUUUCUAAAGAAAUUGUUAACUUCACUUUUA